CCGCAUGAGUCAUUUUUCAGACUACUUCCCUCCCCAGAGGACUGCAGACGGGCAGGAGUCCAACAAAGGACAGGCAGCUGGGCCAAGCUUGGCAGUCGCAGCCCUCCGCAGGGCUGCUCCCGGGAGGAGCUGCUCCCUCCCGCAGGAUGCGCGCAGCUCAGCGGGGUGAACCCCGUGCACGCUGCACUGGCAGGACACAGUCGAGUCCAGCCCGCGGGGCUUGUUCCACAGAACUGGCAAGAAAUAUGGAUCAACAUCACCAUCUGAAUGGCUGUUCACUAUUGCACUGUGGGAUGCAAGCUGACCUCUUUAACAGAUAAUAAAUAAUGUCUUUGUCUUCCCA
Molecule: long non-coding RNA, 343 nt
Organism: Cavia porcellus (domestic guinea pig)
Lineage: Eukaryota; Metazoa; Chordata; Mammalia; Rodentia; Caviidae
Exons: 2
Source: RefSeq, a predicted model, not a curated record